This 72-nucleotide transfer RNA is filed under the name Camelus bactrianus (Bactrian camel). It matches the Rfam family "tRNA". From Rfam's summary of the family: Transfer RNA (tRNA) molecules are approximately 80 nucleotides in length. RNAcentral also lists the same sequence under 2 other names. The record is from Rfam by way of RNAcentral. Lineage: Eukaryota; Metazoa; Chordata; Mammalia; Artiodactyla; Camelidae.
GAGGGUAUAGCUCAGUGGUAGAGCACGUGCAUAGCAUGCACAGGGUCCUGGGUUCAACCCCCAGGAUCUACA